UACGGGGGGGAUAAGCGUUGUUCGGAAUUACUGGGCGUAAAGGGCUCGUAGGCAGCCAACUAAGUCGGACGUGAAAUCCCUCAGCUUAACUGGGGAACUGCGUCCGAUACUGGAUGGCUUGGAUUUGGGAGAGGGAUGCGGAAUUCCAGGUGUAGCAGUGAAAUGCGUAGAUAUCUGGAGGAGCACCGGUGGCGAAGGCGGCAUCCUGGACCAAUAUUGACGCUGAGGAGCGAAAGCCAGGGGAGCAAACGGG
Molecule: ribosomal RNA, 253 nt
Filed under: uncultured Acidobacteriota bacterium
Lineage: Bacteria; Pseudomonadati; Acidobacteriota
Description: uncultured Acidobacteria bacterium partial 16S ribosomal RNA
Rfam family: Bacterial small subunit ribosomal RNA
Source: RNAcentral